UACGAGGGGGGCAAAUGUUGUUCGGAAUCACUGGGCGUAAAGGGAGCGUAGGCGGGUUCUUAAGUAAGGUGUUUAAUCCCGGGGCCCAACCCCGGACCGGCACUUUAAACUGGGAAUCUUGAAUAGUGGAGAGGUCAGUGGAAUUGGGGGUGUAGCGGUGGAAUGCGUAGAGAUCCCCAAGAACACCAGUUGCGAAGGCGGCUGACUGGACACAUAUUGACGCUGAGGCUCGAAAGCAUGGGGGAGCAAACAGG
RNAcentral lists this ribosomal RNA (254 nucleotides) under uncultured bacterium. Its description in RNAcentral is "partial 16S ribosomal RNA". It matches the Rfam family "Bacterial small subunit ribosomal RNA", at positions 524 to 776 of the family's 1533-position model. The record is from RNAcentral.